Molecule: long non-coding RNA, 804 nt
Filed under: Cottoperca gobio
Lineage: Eukaryota; Metazoa; Chordata; Actinopteri; Perciformes; Bovichtidae
Description: lncRNA (ENSCGOG00000011283.1)
Source: RNAcentral
UGGAUGGACGAGGAAUGGAAAGCUUCCAGCGCCUCUCCACCACCAACACCGACACCGACUCUCUCCUCUCUGUGUAUCCGACAAGCGCUGCCUCCACCGCCGCAGCCGCAAGAGCGACGACGCGCUGUGUGGACCGAAGCUGCUAGUCUCCCCUAACCCGCCUUUCCUUCGCUGCAUAACACGCUCCUCCAUAACCAUCAGUAUCCGAGUGUUAUGAUCAUAUCAGGAGAUAUUGGGGGGAUUUCGGGACGAAAAGACUCUUUACUGGACCUCUAAACAUCCACCGUGCCCUGUCUCCGUCUGCGCUCGUCCCCGGCGCUGCUUUUUACGCAGCGAAGGCGUCGCUGAUUUGCCCGCAAAAGGGAGAAACUCAACAGUUGUUGCUGCUUAUUGUUUGCAUGUCGACGUGCACAUUACUACCAUGUGGAGGCUACUGCAAUCGUGUUGUUGCUGCUGGUGGAUUUUCUCUCUCAUUUUGCCUGCCUUCGUGCUCCUCUGGGCCGAGUGUCAUCCUGCGCUGACAGGAAGCCAAGCCGAGUCCCAAGCUCCUCUCCAAGGCCUUCGCAAAGCUGCGGCCAGCGGGACACGACUCCGGAGAGCCGUCACCGAGGAGACCUACUGGGCCUACUCAGGUUGUUCCUGUGGUGUAUCGCUAACACGGAGGAUGCCCCGUCACUGUGUCCCUGCUCACCGUCUAACCGGCUGGCCUGCUGCUGGGCCCGGGUCUCCGCCUGGGUGUAGCCUGCAGUCUGUGGCUACAGCUAACACACUCGACCCCUCGGCCCGGCUGGUUUCGUAGACUCC